Molecule: long non-coding RNA, 685 nt
Organism: Grus americana (Whooping crane)
Lineage: Eukaryota; Metazoa; Chordata; Aves; Gruiformes; Gruidae
Exons: 4
Source: RefSeq, a predicted model, not a curated record
CAAUUUCCCGGAUUUUGUCAAAGCAAACUGAGAGCAGAAGUGUUGUUGUGCUGACAAGCACAGUACAUCAGCAGGGCCGAGCCUUCAGCUUCACCAAGCAGGAUGCUGCUGCUUGGGCUAACAGAACAGCAAGUUGUCGUUCUCUGUUGGACCAACAUAAGGAAAGAAAAAAGGACAGUCUGAGGGAGGAGCUAAGCCAAUUCCUGAGGAUAAGUUGUCUCUUCCCUGCAUUUUGCCCACUACAAAUGCAGAUGUUGCCUUGUCUUGAAGGGACUUAUCAAAGGCUGACUGAAGGCAGGAGAAAUCCAGUGGGUCUUUGAGCAAAUCCUGAAGAGGCAUCUUCAUUGAAAUCAUCUAACAGCCACUGGACUGAGUCCUUUUUCAGAUGGAUGAUCUAAGGUUAUUCAGGUUCUUUUUAGGCAAAUGAGUCUUCAGGAAGGUCUGGUUCUGGUGCCUGCGAGGUCUCUGUGGCAGCUCUGAUGCCUGCUGUUGGGCUCAGGGUUAGCUGAAGGAGGAAUCGUGGCUAGUGAGGAGAGAAGAGCCCCCGGAGUUGCUGCUGAUCUCCUUAAGGACAGCAUGGAGGUCAGUGCUAAAGGUUUGGAGGGCUACACCUUUAAUCCCAACCUGGAGUUUGUACACUGGUCCUUGGCUGGUUCAUACCAUGACAUGUUGACCUUGUUUCCUG